Molecule: long non-coding RNA, 1882 nt
Organism: Vespula vulgaris
Lineage: Eukaryota; Metazoa; Arthropoda; Insecta; Hymenoptera; Vespidae
Exons: 4
Source: RefSeq, a predicted model, not a curated record
GGAAGCUUCUUCUUCUUCUUCUUCUAACUUUUUUUAACUUCUUCUAUCUCACCCUCGAAACAGAGAGAGAGAGAGAGAGAGAGAGAGAGAAAGAGAGAGGAAAGGAGAUAUUAAAUUCUUCGUCGCGAUCGAGUUUUGACGAGAUGUGACGUAAUUUAAGAAAGAAGUAAGAAAAUUGGGAGAAAACGUUGUUAAAUCGAGAGAAGGAAUUUAAAAAAAGGAAGGAAGAAAGGAGCAAAGAAAAAUAGAGAGAAAAGAAAAGAAAAGAAAAUUAUAAAAGAGGCUAGAGAAGAAGAGGCAGCUAUUCGACAACGACGUAAGAAGAAUUUUCAUUCUUCGAUAACGCAAGAAGUUCUUAUGCAAAUAACUAAGAAAAUAGGUAUCGAUCGAUUUCUCGAAACAAUAACGGUAGCUUCGUCCUUUUCUUUCUCUUUUUGUAUAUACUUACCUAUACGCACGCGUACAUAUACAUAACACAAAUAUAUAUAUAUAUAUCUUUCUUUUUCUUUCUCUCUUUCUCUCUCUCUCUCUCUCUCUCUCUCUCUCUCUCUCUCUCUCUCUCUCUCUCUCUCUCUCUUCUCGAAAGGAGAAAUGCGGGUGCGAAGGAAACACGUCACGUGGCUCGUCCCUUCGUUGGCGAGUAUCGCACGUGACGCAACGAGACGCGAAACGACGCGACGCGACGGGACGCGAGUUCGACUUCUCGCGAAGAGGAAAAAGUUGUGUCUUGGAGAGUCGUGAGGGAGGAACGACGGAAAAAAAAGAGCAGAAGGACGGACAGAUUGACAGACGGACGGACGAACGAACGUACGUACCGACAAACAAACAGAAAGAGAAGAAAAUCGCAUAGAUUCACGAGUGAAUUACAGUCGACGACGUUCUAUCGAACGAGAAAAUCGUCGUCGGCCAUGAGUUCCUAGGCGGUCGUAAUCGACGAUAGAACGAAGAGAAGAUCGAGAAGGAAGAAGAAAAAGAAGAAAAAAUAGAGGGAGAAAGGAAGAAAAAGAGAAGAAAGAAUAUAUGAGAAUCCGAUGUGUUAUUAUCUACAAAGCCAUUGGAAACGAUCAACGACGGACAUAUGUGUAUCGGAUGGUAGUCGAGUUAAAGGGCAUGUUGGAGGGAGUUAAGGCUAGCUCGAAGGACCGAAAGGAGGAGGAGGCCAAAGGGGUGGACCAAUGGAAGGAGGUAGAUGUCGGUGUAAUGAAGACCGACAGAGGCGCUCCCGGCCAUCGCUAAUUUGCCGCUAAGUGCCCGGCUUUGUUUCCGUACGUUGAUCCCCCAUCGUUUGCAAUAUCCUGGAUUCGAGACGAUGUAAGUACUUACGUAUCACUGCGCUUAAGAGAGAAAGCCAAAUAACCCGCGGUGUCAUGCCGGUCUAUUCGAUACCCCAACCCUAUAACUCCCACUCCUUUUCCUUCUUCUGUUUCUCUCUCUUUUUCUCUCUCUGGCUCUCUCUCUUUCUUUCUCUUUCUCUGUUUCUGUCUGUCUAUCUGUCUUUCUCUUUCUCUCUCUCUCUCUCUCUCUCUCUCUAUUUCUCUCUUUUUUCUCUCUCUUUCUAUCUAUCCUUCUCUUUAUUUUAACUUUGCAAAUAGACGAUAGUACGUGGAAACUAAUCGAGAAACACAAAGGGGAAAUUCCAAAUUAAUAUAGUUGCGAUUUAUUUUAAUUGUCUUUUUUUUCUUCUUCUUUCUUUUUAAUUUUUCUUAGAAAGUUGACAAAGAAAGGAAAGGAUGUAAUUACAAAUGAAUAAAUAAAUACUAUUGUCGUACAAGUGGAAAUAAUAUUUUUUCAGGAGAUAAAGAAGAAGAUUAUUAAUCCUUUCAAUAUCGUAUGUUUUUUAUAUAUAUGUUUUCUUUUCAACUUUCUUUGGAAAGAUACCAAU